This 459-nucleotide ribosomal RNA is filed under the name uncultured bacterium. Its description in RNAcentral is "partial 16S ribosomal RNA". It matches the Rfam family "Bacterial small subunit ribosomal RNA", at positions 338 to 795 of the family's 1533-position model. The record is from RNAcentral.
CCUACGGGAGGCAGCAGUGAGGAAUAUUGGUCAAUGGACGGAAGUCUGAACCAGCCAUGCCGCGUGCAGGAAGACGGCUCUAUGAGUUGUAAACUGCUUUUGUAAAAGGGUAAACUGAAUACGUGUAUUCAGCUGAAAGUACUGUACGCAUAAGGCUCGGCUAACUCCGUCCCAGCCGCCGCGGUAAUACGGAGGAUCCAAACGUUAUCCGGAUUUAUUGGGUUUAAAGGGGGCGUAGGCGGAUUGAUAAGGUCGUGGUGAAAUGUCCGAGCUUAACUCGGGAACUGCCGCUAAUACUGUUGGUCUAGAGAGGAGGUGCGGUAGGCGGAAUGUAUGGUGUAGCGGUGAAAUGCUUAGAGAUCAUACAGAACACCGAUUGCGAAGGCAGCUUACCAGUCUAUAUCUGACGUUGAGGCACGAAAGCGUGGGGAGCAAACAGGAUUAGAUACCCGAGUAGUC